UCAAAAGCAAAAGCUGCUUUUUCCUUUUUUUUUUAAAAUUUUUUUUAUAUUAUUUUCUAUCGCAGAGUACUGAUGCUGAAGCACCAUUCCAUAGUCCUUUGUUUUAUUAUAUAUUAUUUCAUUUCUGUCAAAAUUUCAGUUGGUGCCUCUUUCCGGCGCUACUCCUGAUUUACACGUGUUGGUAGACGUACACGUGUUCGUACUCUUGAAGAAGUAGAAGGACGGAAAAGCCGAUCUUUUUCGAUUUGCUUCCAGAAACAACGAGCUUUCUCUCGCAUCAAACCACAAGCUCUAUUUCGGAGAAACUACGAAACAUCUCGACUUCUCUCUCAGAGCCCAGCUCGAGUCCUCUGAUAAAAAGGAGAAAUGCUGAUGGAAAAUUUUCUCCGAUACUUGAUUUUCUUGGUUUGUUUCUACUGAUCUUUUGUUUCUUGGGCUGAUUGCUCUUCUUUUUCGUUAUUUUUGGUGCAGAUAUGAAGAUGAUUUGUGAAGAUGCUGUGAUUUCAUGGUACUCAUGUUCAGUUUUUGGAUUUGCUUUGAAGGAAUUUCUAGGGUUUCUUGAAACGGUGGUUUCCAGAUGGUCAUGGUCCAAUUAUCAGCCUCCCUUUCAAACACUCAGAUGAGUUCAUUGGCAGAUUUGAAGCCCCCCCCCCCCCUAGGAAGGGAAUGUUUCACUUCUCCGCGGAAUCCCUAGCCAAACUCAAAGCAAAGGCCAAUGCAGAGUCUGGCACCACCAAAAUCUCCUCCUUCCAGUUUUUAUCUGUUCUUCUCUGGCGCUCCAUUACUCGAGCGCAUUGUCAACCACCUAAUCAAGGAACCAGCUGCAGGCAUGGUCUACAAGGAAGCAUAUGCAACUAUAAAUCAGCUCUGGUUGUAAUCGUCCCAGGGAAUGGUAUAAUUUUCCAUCUUAUAGUAUACGUGAAUGGAACCAGCUGAAGGUCGAAGUUAGCAUGUUUGAUGGCUCCGUUUGACAAAUAUGCCUACUAACUGUUUGAUAAAAUGACUGUUAUUAUGGUCCUUAAAAUGAUUGUUAAGCAUAUGGUUUUCAGUGAUCGACAAUACCUAUAUAUGCAUUGGAUUUGUAUACCAGUUUCACUUGGUUGGAGGUCUUGAAAGACUCCAUUUAAUGAAUCCAAAAUGUGUAAUUCCUUUGGGGAGCGUUUGAUAACCAUUUGGUUUUCAUUUUUCAGUUUUUGCUUAGAUUUAUUUCUGGACAUGUCCAAUAAGUUCACUUUAGUAUAUAGAGAUCUAUAUAUUACAAUUUAGUAUAAAUUUAUGUAUUAUCUUCUUUUUAGGUUCUUCAAGCAUUUCACUUUAGUAUAUAGAGAUCUAUAUAUUGGAUUAAAUAUUUGUGAUUGCAUAUAUAUCCAACAUCCUUAUUCAAAACAAAUUGUGUUAAACAGAUAAUGAUAGUCAACACAGUUGUAGCUUCUGGUAUUUUCAGUAUGUUUUGAUUUACCAUUCAUCUAUGUACAAUACUUUCGCAAUCAAUAACUAUUCCCAAGUACCAUACACACUAUCAAUUCAUCAAUGAUAGUCAACUCCUUGAAAUCUUCUUGCUAUGGAUACUUAUGGUUGGAUUUUAGAUGAGGACUCUUCUUCUCUGUACGCACGCUCCUCUUUCUUCAUUCUUACCAUUUUUUUCUCUGUAGUUUGUAAUAUUUUUUUUUAUAUGCCUGCAUACCAAUGAGAACGUGAUCCCGAAUGGCUCCAAUCGACUCUUCCAAGUGACAAGAAGGAUCUGAUUAUUGGGAUUUCUUAGCAGUAGCCCUAUGGGUGAUACGAUUACAAAGGCACUAUGGGAAUCUCAUGCACACUAUUACGGUUGGACCUUCUCACUCUCUCACACACCUUUUUCUUGAAUGUUGAUCAGGUUUUAAGUAUUGUUACCUAAUUAUUCCAUUUUUGGUCAUUUUCUCAAUCAAAUUUUUUUACUGGAAAAUUCAGUUUAUAUUGAUCAAUAAACAAAAACCAGUUAAUGUCAGUGAGGUGUCUUUCUGUUUGUACAUUAUCUCACUUAGUUUGGGACUUGAUGCCAAGUUUCCAUUUAUGAGUUUAAAAUUUUUCAGUGCCAGAUUAGAUGGUUGUUUCUGUUUAGUAUCUUUUUUUUUUUUUUUUUUUUUUUGAAUUGGAUAAAAGGUUUAUCAGAUGACAUUUUAGGGGAAAAAAUUAUUGGUUAUGGGUGUCCCACAAGUCUUCUUUAUAUGUGAAAAGCUUACCCUCUAUCUUCGAUAAUUUUAACAUUGAGACACCUUUUUUACAGUGAUUUAAUGGAUGCAUACUUUCUGUUGUGUACAAUAAAUUGCAUUUGAACCUCUCCACCAAUCACAAUGGUUUGAGUCUGACAUAUUUGAUCUAAUGCCAAGAAUUAAACCAAAUGUUGAAACGUCUUUAUUCUUGCUACUGUAUGUGUGGUUAAUGUACAAUUUUGUGGUGCAGAUCAGUACCACCAAGUUGCUUCACCUUUUUGGCUAUUUGUAGGUAAAUGGUGUUGGAAUCAAUACCGAAUGGGGAUUGUUGAUGGCGAGCAUCUCAGAGGAUACUGGUGAAAAAACUUCUACACAGUUUUUUUUUCCUUUUCAUUUUUCUACUUCCACAAGUGUGGUUGUUUAAUACAUAGAAAAUCUAUUAUUUGUAGUAUUAUUUAUUAAUUCUAAGACAGUUAUCUUCAAGUAUCAA
Malus domestica (apple) is the source of this 2679-nucleotide non-coding RNA. The record is from RefSeq and is a predicted model, not a curated record. NCBI's taxonomy places the organism in Eukaryota, Viridiplantae, Streptophyta, Magnoliopsida, Rosales, Rosaceae.